Molecule: ribosomal RNA, 378 nt
Filed under: uncultured bacterium
Lineage: Bacteria
Description: bacterial SSU rRNA
Rfam family: Bacterial small subunit ribosomal RNA
Source: RNAcentral
GACGAACGCUGGCGGCGUGCUUAACACAUGCAAGUCGAGCGGUAAGGCCCUUUCGGGGGUACACGAGCGGCGAACGGGUGAGUAACACGUGGGUGACCUGCCCUCAGCUCUGGGAUAAGCCUGGGAAACCGGGUCUAAUACUGGAUAUGACUCCAUGACGCAUGUUGUGGGGUGGAAAGCCUUGUGCGGCUGAGGAUGGGCCCGCGGCCUAUCAGCUUGUUGGUGGGGUGAGGCCGUACCAAGGCGACGACGGGUAGCCGGCCUGAGAGGGCGACCGGCCACACUGGGACUGAGACACGGCCCAGACUCCUACGGGAGGCAGCAGUGGGGAAUCUUGCGCAAUGGGCGAAAGCCUGACGCAGCGACGCCGCGUGAGGG